RNAcentral lists this ribosomal RNA (351 nucleotides) under uncultured bacterium. Its description in RNAcentral is "partial 16S ribosomal RNA". It matches the Rfam family "Bacterial small subunit ribosomal RNA", at positions 77 to 422 of the family's 1533-position model. The record is from RNAcentral.
GCUUCGGCCCUGGGGACAGCGGCGAACGGGUGAGUAACACGUGGGUAAUCUGCCCUCGGCACCGGAAUAGCCCGGGGAAACCCGGAUUAAUGCCGGAUGGCCCCUUCACCUCUCGAGGUGUCGGGAAAAGGUAGCUUCGGCCUCUGGCUGAGGAUGAGCCCGCGGCGGAUUAGCUUGUUGGCGGGGUAACGGCCCACCAAGGCGACGAUCCGUAGCUGGUCUGAGAGGAUGAUCAGCCACACUGGGACUGAGACACGGCCCAGACUCCUACGGGAGGCAGCAGUGGGGAAUAUUGGACAAUGGGCGCAAGCCUGAUCCAGCAAUGCCGCGUGAGUGAGGAAGGCCUUCGGG